CAAAUUAGAGCUUGAAUAAGUAUUUCAUUUACAUUGAAAUGAUAUUGUUUUUACAAUUAAUUUGA
Molecule: transfer RNA, 65 nt
Filed under: Parapoynx crisonalis
Lineage: Eukaryota; Metazoa; Arthropoda; Insecta; Lepidoptera; Crambidae
Description: tRNA-Val
Source: RNAcentral